Molecule: long non-coding RNA, 979 nt
Organism: Phascolarctos cinereus (koala)
Lineage: Eukaryota; Metazoa; Chordata; Mammalia; Diprotodontia; Phascolarctidae
Source: RefSeq, a predicted model, not a curated record
UAAAGAAGCGCAAUGUUUCAUGGCCAUGCUGGGAGUGACAAGAGCCUUUCUUGGUGUUGUGCCCUUCAAUCCUAAAGCAGUCUGUUCUAGCUCCCCAAGAAUAUGAAUAUCAAGUAUCUCUAAUGGCAGAGCUACCCUUUUUGAUGCCAGUGAGCAAGACAACAUCAUCUUCAGGAUCUGAAGAUGGUUCAACUUGGUUAGGAAAAAAAGAAACAAAACAGUAGACAUUGCUGUCAUCUGUCGCUGUCCCAGGUACAUUGCUGAGUCUUCAAUGAAAAAGUCCAAACUCAGUCCUCUGAAUUUCUUGAAGUCCUCCUCAGCCAAAGCAGAAGAGGAGAGACCCUGACCAAGGAUGAACCUGAGCCAGAGCUCUUCUCUCUGCUCCCCAAGAAAUUUCUCCUCAGCGGCUUAGCUAGAAGAAUUCCACCCUAAGCUACAAGGCAUUUGAAUCCUGAAUUCCAAGCUUGCUCACUGAUUUUAUACCAGUAUCACAGGACACAACCAAUCAGAAUAGACUUCCUAUUGUGCCUAGUUGAAAUGCCAGAGGUGUCUAGGGCUGGUUCAUAACUAGUGAACAAUUAAGAUGUGCUCUCACCUGUUAAAGUUUGUCAGGGCUAGGUGGGAAAUGAAGAGAGGACUGGCCUGGGUGCCCUCUUUAAAUGGAAGUUCUGGGAAGAAUUCUCUACUUUCCAAGCAGAGGGGCCCCAGAAACGGAGGCUCUGAGGCAGGAUAAAGAGAUUUCUGGAUCAUGAUGGAGAAGUUUAAAGGAAUAUAGCCAGAAGGGAACAGAUGAAACACAUCUCCCCCUCAUUAGAGAGGCAGGAGACUAAUGGAGGGAAAAUGUUACAUAUACCAUCAGAUGAGGUGGUUUUGUGGAUUGGUUUUGCUUAGCUGGUUUGUUGUUGUUGUUAUUAUUGUUGUUAGAAGGGAGGACUCCAUGGCAGAGCAUAUAUCAGGAAGUGACUGUGGUAUAAAAACA